Long non-coding RNA from Chelonia mydas (Green sea turtle), 3276 nucleotides. RefSeq lists it as uncharacterized. Lineage: Eukaryota; Metazoa; Chordata; Testudines; Cheloniidae. The transcript has 4 exons. The record is from RefSeq and is a predicted model, not a curated record.
GGCGGCAGCAGCAGCUGCUGCUGCCUCUGAGCCGCCGCCUCCCAGCCAGCGCGGCAGCAACUGAGUGGCCCGUUACCAGUAACUCACAUGGAACCGCGAGGCCUCGGGAUACGUACGCGCGGACACCCUAGAGCCGAGCUUUCCUGGAAAUGGCUGGAUAAGUGCCAAGUCCAACUUUGAGUAAUAGGCUUACAGCCAUUCUCUGACACCUGCUCUGGCCACAACACUGUAAUUGUUUCCUGAGCACGAAACAAGAGGGGCACAUUUUUGGACACUGAGAACAUGUCAUACUUCAGGUGAUGGGUGAUAGAAUACAUGCUUUGUACUCACGUUACUUUAACCAAGACAACUGAGAAGGGAAAAGGAACUGCUUUACCAGGUAAAGGCACAACACACAAGAACAGAAUGCAAGAGACAACAGCACAUAAAGGAAACACCUAAAGGAAAACAUCAGUCUGCAGAAACAGGGCAUUGCUGGAAACAAGGGGCGAACUAAUUAAAGAGGAGAUUGAAACAAAGGUUUUCCCCUUCAAAGGUGCUCUGCAAGUGAUUUUUUUAAUUGAACUUGUUCCCUUUUUUACUUCUUAUGAUACAUAAAGGACUUAGAAAACUUUUUCCUUUAUUAAAGAUUGUUUUGCUCAUUAUCUUAAAUGCCAGGAAUGUCAACUCUGCUCUUCCCUAGUUUUGCUGUAAGAGCCACUUGAUAUCUCAAAGAAUGUACAUUGUUAACUCUUACACCCUAACUUAACGGAUGGAAGAUGGUGAAUCUUUACUGUUUUGGAGAAAGAAUAUUGUUAGUGAUUCAAGUUAAAAAGGUGUUAACGAUAACAAAAAAGAAUUAAACAGUCAUCAGACAUAUUUCCUGUUAUUUGUUUAAAUGUUAUUUCAAUCUUGGCCUAUGUUUUCCAAACAUGGGUGCCUGAAGCUCAGUGCCAAAAACCAUAUUUAGGCUCCUAAAAUAAAAGUGGCGAUAGGUACUACAGCUCCUAGUGACUUCAGUAUGUGAAGAGAGGAUAUUCAUGAAACUACAGAAGAAUUCUGUGUAUGAGGUCAAAAUAUUGCAACAGUUUGUAAGUGAUGUGAUAAAGCAGCAGCUGGAUAUGGAUAAGAGGCUAUAACACCAAAUUCAACACAAAACACAGCCUAUAAACAAAAGAGAUCAUAACGGAUUAUUUCCCUCUGUACGAUAAUUUUAAAACAAUGUGAUGGCCAUAGCCAUUAUGAGUCUGAGUGUACGGUUAAAAUGCUAAUGGAUAUGAAAAGGGAAACUUGGCAACCAGUAGAACACAGAUUUUUUUUUAAACCAAAAUGUAAUUUAGAAGGUAUACUGUACAGUUGUUAUGUGCUGGUCUCUUCUUACCCUUGCACUACCAUGUGUCCCUAUUAUAAGCUUCUCUUUGUUUCUCACAGCUAAUACAAUGGCGGGGCAAUGGCAAAUAAUGGGCUGAGUGCCAACAGACUGAAAAUGCAGAUGUCAGACAAAACGGAUAUACAGCUUGGCUAACGAAGCCAGAGCCUGCAGCAAGAAGUUGUCAAUAGUGCUUUGCAAUAUCAAGUUAUUUAACAUAUACAAAAUUCACUGCAAAAAUUUACUGUUAAUGCAACAUCAUUGUUGAGAAUUUACAGUAUCUACAAAGGAGACAGGAAAUUCAGACUACUACAGCUUUACCUGUAACAAAAUGCUCAGCAGCUCAGGUUGCUAUGUGUACGUCAUUCUGGUGCUCCAGUCACUCAGCUGGCUUGCCAUUGAAUAAAGAGUCCAAUUUAAGGUCUCCAGCUUCAUAUUCAAGCUCUCAGUGGAAUCAACCCAAGCAACUCAAGAGAUUGCCUCUCCCCGUGAGUCCUUGACCUCUCAUGCCAGCUGCAGUCCACCAGAAAUAUCAGACUGUCAACCAAUAGCUCCUAAAGCUUUCAAAACAGCCUAAAGCAUCUAAAUUUCUAAUCUGGAACUAAGGCAGAGAGUAGAUUCCUCCUGAAUGCUGCCAUCCUGGAUUGAGGCCUACAGCCAUGCUGAUACCGUCCAAUCAUUUGACGGAGAUGCCAAUUCAAAUCUUUUGGUGAAAGCAAACAACUGCCUAGCACUGAUUAUUAUUUUUAUAUUCCAGUAGCCCCAAUCAGAUCAGGGGUAGGCAUCCUACAAACAUAUUAAAAGACUGAGGUUUCCCUGAAGAGUUUACAAACUAAAUAGACAAAUCAGAUGAAGAGUGAAAGAAAAGGCAUUGAGCACACAAGCUGUAAUCAGUGAUAAGAGGCUAUGUGAUGUUAACUACAUAUGUUUUUUAAAACACUAUUUUCUUGUUUUUUAAAAUAUAAAUUUUGGAAUAGGGUGAGGGGGGAAGGAGAUGAUGUAACAGAAGCACACAAAUAGUAGGAAAAGGAAGGAAGGGAGGAAAAGGGAGAGAAAUACAGGAAGGAUGGAGGGGAACAGUGAGGUCAGUUUUCUAGGUAUGAAAGGAACAAUUGCAGGUUGAUUGCUGCAGGUUGAAGCAGCAACUCAUGAUCAACGGAAUCAAAAUCUGCUGAGAGGUCCAGCAUAAGAAUAAAUGCCAGUUGACCUCAAAUUAACGAAAGAUAAUUCAUGACCAUGACAAGUGUCAUCCCAAUGGAAUGCUGGAACCCAGAAUGGAAUCUGCCAGGGUGGUGGUGUCCAGAUGCACAUGGAGUUGACAAGCUUUGCCUUCUCAACCACCUCUCCAAAGGUGGAAGUUUAAGAUCUUGCAGGAUUGAAUAGUAAGUACUGCCACAUCAAAGGAAAGUAUCCUGAAGAGAGGUUAGACCUUAGUGUGUUUAAGAAUUGUCAGCACCCUCUCCUUGCUUAGUGAGGUGUUAGCAGUGCCUCUCAAUACUGAUACCAUGGCUACCAUGGGUGACACUUGCUUUGAGACACCAGUGUGAAUAGGGAUCAGGACCACAAGUGAUGGCCCUCAAGAAACCGAGAAGACAACAGAUGCCUCCAUCAGAAAACAAAUUUAUGUUUAAUUAUGAAAGCAAAUGUCCCUCAAACAGAAAUGCCAGAGACCACCCUAGAACUAAACAGCCUUUGGGUGCCAUCAUAAUAUAAAUAUUUACAAAUAAAAAUAAUAAUAAUCUACUUAAAACAUCUCCUCACAGCAGUCAUUUGAAGAAAUUACAAACAGGCAGACCAGAAUAAUCAGAUUGUGCAAAGGACUAAGACUCCAAAUGGCUGAGGACAAGUAAUGUUUUUUGGCCUCAGUCACAGCUUUUUUGUACGUUUCUUUUCAACUCCAAAUGACUCCUCUGUUAAAUCCCCUCCCA